CACCAGGUUGAUUCUGCCUGACGUGUGUGCUUGUCUUGAGGACUUAGCCAUGCAAGCUGGCGAAGCAAGUAGUGGAGCGGCGGACGGCUCAGUAAUACUGUAAUGAUUUACGCGCGACGGACGGAUAACCGUGGUAAGCUAUGGCUAAUACGUGAAGGGCUACUCCGGUGAGAUGGAGUAGAGGAUGAGGAAGCGGUAGCGGCUAAGUUUCAGGCCUAUCAGCUUGGAGGUAGGGUAAAGGCCUACGUUGGCGAUGACGGGAGACGGGGGAUGGGAGUCCGGUACCGGAGAGGGAGCCUGAGAAACAGCUCCGACGUCUAAGGAUGGCAGCAGGCGCGAAACUUACCCAAUUCCUUUGGGAGAGGUAGUGAAGAGACGUGGCACUAGUGCGCGAGCGAGAAGGUAACAGGAUCACGGGAGACUGGAGGGCAAGUCUGGUGCCAGCAGCCGCGGUAAUUCCAGCUCCAGGGGCGCACAUAUUGGUUGCUGCAGUUAAAGCGUGCGUAGUUGGCUGCAGAGGUGGUGAGGAAAGAGUGCUUCUCAAAGGGGCGAUUAGCACGGCACUCUGCGGAGAGAGGAACAGACGAUGGGUGCGGUAUUCUGCGGCGAGAGGUGAAAAUUGUAGACCUGCAGGGGACGAGCUGAGGCGGAGGCGGCAGCCAGGGAUGUAUCCGUUGAUCAAGGACGUAAGCCGGAGGAUCGAAGAUGAUUAGAGACCGUCGUAGUUCCGGCUGUAACGAUGCCGACAAGGCUGGGUGAGGUAUUGCCUGGGCUUUGAGAAUCAGAGUUUUCGGGCUCUGGGGAUAGUACGGUCGCAAGACAAAACUUAAAGAAAUU
Molecule: ribosomal RNA, 837 nt
Filed under: Microsporidium sp. BCAN4
Lineage: Eukaryota; Fungi; Microsporidia
Description: SSU rRNA
Rfam family: Microsporidia small subunit ribosomal RNA
Source: RNAcentral